Molecule: ribosomal RNA, 403 nt
Filed under: uncultured bacterium
Lineage: Bacteria
Description: bacterial SSU rRNA
Rfam family: Bacterial small subunit ribosomal RNA
Source: RNAcentral
UGGGGAAUCUUGCGCAAUGGGCGAAAGCCUGACGCAGCAACGCCGCGUGCGGGAUGAAGGCCUUCGGGUUGUAAACCGCUUUCAGCAGGGACGAAGAUGACGGUACCUGCAGAAGAAGCCCCGGCCAACUACGUGCCAGCAGCCGCGGUAACACGUAGGGGGCGAGCGUUGUCCGGAUUUAUUGGGCGUAAAGAGCUCGUAGGCGGUUCCGUCAGUCGGGUGUGAAAACUCUGGGCUCAACCCAGAGACGCCACCCGAUACUGCGGUGACUAGAGUCCGGUAGGGGAGUGCGGAAUUCCUGGUGUAGCGGUGAAAUGCGCAGAUAUCAGGAGGAACACCAACGGCGAAGGCAGCACUCUGGGCCGGUACUGACGCUGAGGAGCGAAAGCGUGGGGAGCGAACA